Long non-coding RNA from Bactrocera latifrons, 2026 nucleotides. RefSeq lists it as uncharacterized. The record is from RefSeq and is a predicted model, not a curated record. NCBI's taxonomy places the organism in Eukaryota, Metazoa, Arthropoda, Insecta, Diptera, Tephritidae. The transcript has 2 exons.
ACAAUGAUCAUGGGUUCUCUCAACAAGUAGAAGAGUUCCGGAUCAUUUUAUCCAUGAUUGUAUGGUUCUGACGGCUAUUAAUUUGAGGAUAGGUGGUUAUAGUCAUUAUUGCACGCAGAGUGUAAACGGACAAAUUAUCAUACGUAACGCCCAAAGUUUUGGUGUUAUUUAAUAACUAUUUUGUCAUAGAAGACAAUAUCUUCACAUUUAGUGAAUAAAUGGGCUUUUGGUUUAGUAGGGGAAGUUUAGGCUCCUUGCAGUAAAGAAGCGAGAAAUUUUUCGGAGAAAGUCGUUUACUAUAAAACACAUGUCAUCAGUUCCAGUGGCCGAUGUCAUUAUUGUGCACAGUCACAGAAAUUCCCUCUGGUGGGAUAUAACAAGUUGUUUAAUUGUUCAUAGUGCAAAGCUCAACUGGUGUGUUAAAUUCAGAAGUAGCAAAUAAAGAUCGUUAUUACCACUGGGGAACAGAGAACUAUCGGGCAAUAUGAUGCCUGAGUUCCUACGAUACAGCAGUGGGCCACUAUUCUGGUUAGAGGGAGAUUGCGCACCUUAUGAAGAUAGCUAUUCUCAUGGAAACUUGAUGACAGUAAGCAGUGCGCAGGACUUUGGUAUUUUGUGCAGCUGUCGAACAACGCAUUCCGUUUUUCUUUGCCUUGAGCAGGCAUAGCAAUCGAAUUGAAUUUCAAUAUCCCUCAUCGGGUUAGACGGUUGCCCAAAGUAUACUCACACAUGUGGAAAGCUUACAAAACUUCAAGUGUUCCCGUUAAAUUUUGGCAAAUUUCGGAGCAUUUGGCCUAGUUAGCGUUGUUAAGAUGUCAAAUUCAACCAAUUGUUAAACCAAAACAAGCCAACGAAAAAAGGCAUGGACUAGUUCCCGCAACGGACGCCAUAAUCUCCAUUUCACAAAUAAGCAGGAGUAUGAGUAAUGUUUCCAUUAUGGAAUGUGCAGACGGUAAAUAGCGUAUACUGAGUGUGGAUACAGGGUCGUUAAAUUCCAGAAUUCGAUCUGAUCUGGUUAAUAAAGAAGUAAGACCAUUAGCUGAUGCAAAAUUGCGUACUGCAACUGCAGGAGGAAAUGAAAUCUUCGGAGAAGUAACGUUCAGGGUCAUAAUUGGAAAGGCAUCCGUGAUACACUAUUUUGUAGUUGCAUAUAUCGUCGAUGAAAUAAUAAUUGAAUAUUAUAAGGAUAUGAUAACAAAUACAAAAUAACAGUCUGAGAGCAUAUUCCACCAAAAUCAGAAGCAGUUAUUUGGGAAGAAGUGGAUGGAGACUAUGGGACAAACAAGUUUUAGUUUGUUGAGGCCACAGAAAAACUUACACCAGACUUACUCAUAUGAAAAACCCUGGCUAUGACAGGACAAGAUAAAUGUGUUCCAGUAAAAUUAUUUAAUGAGUUAAAGUCACCGAUCAAUCUUCGUGGGGAUCUAUGUUAAGACAUUGUCAAGAGAUAAAUUGUGAAGUAUGUACAUCUUGAAGAUUCAUUGGCAAAAACGAUAUAUUGAACGAAAUUAACACAUGGAUUAAGGGACUGGAGGCAAAUCAUCAAAAUAAGGCUAAAUAACUUAGAUACUCAACCAUUUUGAUAGACGAUUUCACACCAAGAAGAACCAAAGAUUUGAAACAUUUCAUUAACACAACAACAUGCGAGACCAAUUCGCCAGGCUCCUCGAAGCGUUCCUCAAGCAAACCGUGACGUUGUAAACCCGACUGCACGUGAAAUGAGCGAAAGCGGCGAGUCCAUGAAGUUCAGAUGAGGGACUUUUGAAGAAAAAAGGUGGCAGCAUGAGAGUACCUUUGAAUUAUGUAACGCUUCUACUACCUUAAAGAGACUUAUAAGGACUCUUAGGACAGAAAGUGACAACGGAGGGCAACUUUGCCAGCAUAGCAAUUAGUAGGCGCAUCAUAUCAUAUCAUAAAUAUAGUGAUUUCCCUAAAAUUUAAUCAUUUAAUACCACUUAUAUAAGUUGCUUUAUUUUGUCCAUGAAUCAAAUGGAAAUAUUAAAAUAAUAAAUAUGAAUAAGUUCAA